RNAcentral lists this unclassified non-coding RNA (749 nucleotides) under Hevea brasiliensis (rubber tree). Lineage: Eukaryota; Viridiplantae; Streptophyta; Magnoliopsida; Malpighiales; Euphorbiaceae. The record is from RNAcentral.
UUUUUAAACUCAUCCCAAGUUCUAACAUUGCAAGUACCCUUUUCCAUGUCCAUCAUCCUCCUACGCCACCACACCAUGGCGCUCUCGGCCAGAAAUAGAGGAGCGUUGUCAACCUUGCGCGAGUCUUCUUCCACACCAAGAGCACGGAAAUAUUGUUCAAGGGCCCAUAAAAAGUUAUCUAUUUCACGGGCAUUUCUUGAUCCUUUGAACACGUUCGGUUUGGGUACAUCAACCCUUGCCGUUGGAUUUGUGAGAGUAAAGCUGGUUCCAUUCCCUUGGGCUACCAACCUUUUAAGCAACACCAAUUCGUCCUUCACUUCGACACUCAACUUCCUUACUUCUUCCUUCAACAAGUGGUUUUCUUCUUUAAGGGCAGAAAGUUCCUCGGCAUGUGCAAAUUUCAGGGCCUCAUUCUCACUAGCCAUUCUCUCAAGGGCAUCACUGAAGGCAGCUUGAAGUUCACUUCGGGCCUCCUCCAUCCCGUCUCCAAGUUGCAUCAGCCGGUUCUCAAUAUCUUCAAACCUGUCGUCCCCAUUGACUAGGUGGCGUUCCACUUUGGCCAGCCUCACUUCCACGUCUCCCAACUCUUCUCUUGCACGUGAGAGAUCCCUAGGCCUGGCCUGGCCCUUUUUCCUGCCUCUAGCCGGUUGUUCUUCCCUUACCGAAGUAGCACCACAUUGUUCUUGGUCACUUGAGUCGGCCAUUCUCCCGAGCACUCCAACAAUGUGCUCUGAUACCAACUGUCACGG